Lepisosteus oculatus (spotted gar) is the source of this 73-nucleotide transfer RNA. It matches the Rfam family "tRNA". Rfam says of the family: Transfer RNA (tRNA) molecules are approximately 80 nucleotides in length. Their secondary structure includes four short double-helical elements and three loops (D, anti-codon, and T loops). Further hydrogen bonds mediate the characteristic L-shaped molecular structure. tRNAs have two regions of fundamental functional importance: the anti-codon, which is responsible for specific mRNA codon recognition, and the 3' end, to which the tRNAs corresponding amino acid is attached (by aminoacyl-tRNA synthetases). tRNAs cope with the degeneracy of the genetic code in two manners: having more than one tRNA (with a specific anti-codon) for a particular amino acid; and 'wobble' base-pairing, i.e. permitting non-standard base-pairing at the 3rd anti-codon position. Lineage: Eukaryota; Metazoa; Chordata; Actinopteri; Semionotiformes; Lepisosteidae. The record is from Rfam.
GCCCGACUGGCUCAGUCGGUAGCGCAUGAGAUUCUUAAUCUCAGGGUUGUGGGUUUGAGCCCCAUGUUUGGCG